UACGUAGGUGGCGAGCGUUAUUCGGAUUUACUGGGCGUAAAGGGUCCGCAGGGGGCGCGCCGCGCCCGCCGUGAAAGACCGGGGCUCAACCCCGGGCCUGCGGCGGGUACGGGCGCGCUGGAGUGCCGCCAGGGCAGAUGGAAUUCCGGGUGUAGCGGUGGAAUGCGUGGAUAUCCGGAAGAACACCGAUGGCGAAGGCGAUCUGCUUCGCGGCGACUGACCCUCAUGGACGAGAGUGUGGGUAG
RNAcentral lists this ribosomal RNA (245 nucleotides) under uncultured Oligosphaera sp. RNAcentral's name for it is "partial 16S ribosomal RNA". It matches the Rfam family "Bacterial small subunit ribosomal RNA", at positions 524 to 768 of the family's 1533-position model. The record is from RNAcentral. Lineage: Bacteria; Pseudomonadati; Lentisphaerota; Oligosphaeria; Oligosphaerales; Oligosphaeraceae.